RNAcentral lists this ribosomal RNA (239 nucleotides) under uncultured bacterium. Its description in RNAcentral is "partial 16S ribosomal RNA". It matches the Rfam family "Bacterial small subunit ribosomal RNA", at positions 538 to 776 of the family's 1533-position model. The record is from RNAcentral.
GCGUUGUUCGGAAUUACUGGGCGUAAAGGGUUCGUAGGUGGCCACUUAAGUCAGACGUGAAAUCCCUCAGCUUAACUGGGGAACUGCGUCUGAUACUGAGUGGCUUGAGUGCAGGAGAGGAAUGCGGAAUUCCAGGUGUAGCGGUGAAAUGCGUAGAUAUCAGGAGGAACACCUAUUGCGAAGGCAGCUCGCUGGGACGUAACUGACGCUGAGACGCGAAAGCGUGGGGAGCAAACAGG